AUUCUCACUUUGACAGCAUAUACACCAGAACUGCAAUAAUACAGAGAAGAUUAGUAUGGCCUCUAUGACAGGAUGACAUGGAAAUUCAUGAAGUAUACAAUUAUUUU
Small nuclear RNA from Mustela putorius furo (domestic ferret), 107 nucleotides. The record is from Ensembl. Lineage: Eukaryota; Metazoa; Chordata; Mammalia; Carnivora; Mustelidae.